RNAcentral lists this long non-coding RNA (1579 nucleotides) under Mus musculus (house mouse). Its description in RNAcentral is "long non-coding RNA chr7:83046756-83048335". Lineage: Eukaryota; Metazoa; Chordata; Mammalia; Rodentia; Muridae. The record is from RNAcentral.
AUAAGAAUAAUAAAAAACAAAACAGGUAAUUAAAAUAAAGGAAAAUCAAUGAGACAAAAACAGUCAACAAAAAAUAUGUGGCUCUUGUUUCUUCUCAUGGGCUGAGCCUUAGAUUCAAGGGAGAAGUAGUUGGUUACUCCCAUAACAUCUGGGCCACUACUGUACCAGUGCAUCUUGCAGGUAAGUCACUGUUGUAGGUCACAGGGUUUGUGGUGGGCAAUAUUGAAGACUAUUAGUUUAUGUGUAUGGAUGUUUUGACUGCAUGCCUGUCCAUGUACCACAUGCUGGGUCCUCAGAGACCAGAAGAGGGUUUCAGAUUCUCUGGGACUGGAGCUACACUGCUGUGAGCCACCAUGAGUAGCCUGGGGGUCAAACUUGGGUCCUUGGAAGAGCAGGAAGUGUUUUUUACCACUGAGCCAUCAUUCCAGCCCUGUGUGUGAUUUUUUUCAAACUUUUUUAUAACAAGGCUUUUAAAUGUCAUAAUGAAACCCAUCACUUUCUAUGCUUUAAGAAUUAAUAAUGAAUUAUAUCAUAUCUAUAUCUAUAUCAUCUAUCUAUAUCUUCAUGGAAAUGCUUCUGUCAUAGAUUUUUUUGUUAGUUUCUUUAGUUUUUUUCCUUCCACUGAUUCAGAAUUCUCUAAGGACAGUUCAUUAAGCUUCACAGCAAUCUAGAAACAUUCUCAGUGUGCAGUGUAUUUCUUCAGGUAUGGUGCAAAUAUAAUUGUGUCUCACAAACUUAUGAAUGAAUAAAUCCAGCCUAAUUGGCCAUUGCUUCUUUUUCUUGUAGUGAUGUAGGAGAAUAAAUACCAGCCUCAGAAUUACAGCCUGGUUGGCUCUUCUGCACUUUGUCUAUGAAAUAAGGGAAGUACCUGCAUCUUCUCCAUUGAAAGUCUUCCUAGUUGUCAACAGCAGAAUCCUUUCUACUUAUUCUACAAAAUGAGAUAUAAAGAUGUACUCAUACUUGCCAAUAUCAUAGUUGUGUGGAAGAAAUAUACAUCAGUUUGAGCUUCUUGGAACAAGUCUAAAAGCCACAGCACUGAAAGAAAUCAACCAAUGAACUCGUGUCUCUAUAGAGUCAGCAGAGGCCUGCUCAGGUAGCUUCCAUGAUGACUGACAGCUCCAGAAAGGCACUCCACUGAUAAUUUCUGCAUCAGUCAAACAAGUGUCUAGAGCCCUGUCCAAAUCCAUCUAUAUGGUCAAGCAAAAAUCAUAAUCAGGACACUAAUCUAACAGAGUCUCAGAAAUGUACUUUGUUUUGUAGACUAUGGUUUCAGAGAGGUAUAUGAGAGGUCAGGUAGUAUGGGAACCAUGUAAAAUCCUCAAUAAAAAAUACCCUCAAUUGAAUUUAGUAUUUGAAACCCCAGGCUCAUAUCAUGUGUGUUCUUUUGUGAUUGGGUUACCUCACUCAGGAUGAUAUCCUCCAGAUCCAUCCAUUUGUCUAAGAGUUUCUUAAAUUCAUUGUUUUGAAUAGCUGAGUAGUACUCCACUGUGUAAAUGUAUCACAUUUUCUGUAUCCAUUACUCUGUUGAGGGACAUCUGGGUUCUUUCCAGCUUCUGGCUAUUAUAAAUAAAGCUGCUAU